CCAUUUCUGUAAUAAUUUGAAAUUUAGAAUUUAGAAUUUUAUUUAUAAAAUUUUUGAAGAAACCAAAAUUCCAAUUGACUUACUACGUUGACAAUUGAAAACAUCUUUGCUGCAAACACCAAGCCAUUUUCACUCUCUCUAGAAACACCUCACUUCCAUCCUCUGCCUUUUCUCUAAUCUUAAGCUUUCUUGAUCCAGAGAACUUGCAAAUUGAAGGUGCCCUAGUGAUUGCAACGCAGAGAACUUCAUUUCCUAUCGAUCAAAUUCUUCAAAUUGACCGGCUCCCAUAGAAUUUCGGUGGGUGGCAAACUUGAAAUUGGGUUAAGUUCUGUUAAAAACCCAGAGGUUUCAGAGGCCCCUUUGGAGCAAAUACUAGAUGGCCCAGUU
Molecule: long non-coding RNA, 387 nt
Organism: Vigna radiata var. radiata (mung bean)
Lineage: Eukaryota; Viridiplantae; Streptophyta; Magnoliopsida; Fabales; Fabaceae
Exons: 3
Source: RefSeq, a predicted model, not a curated record